Molecule: long non-coding RNA, 317 nt
Filed under: Vigna radiata
Lineage: Eukaryota; Viridiplantae; Streptophyta; Magnoliopsida; Fabales; Fabaceae
Description: long non-coding RNA (VRAD_LNC001928)
Source: RNAcentral
UCAUGUGUAGUCAAGGGGUUCAACUCGGAUGGUACAAGAGUUCACGACAGCAUAGUAAAUUAGCUUCUGACUAAGGUCAGUAAAGUUUUUGAAUGCUUUUAUUGAUAGAAGAGAUAUUGUUUCAAUAGUAGUCAUAUUAAUAUUAUUUAGUUUAAAAACAGCAACCACUUCCAAGUGUUUAUUUGUUUUUGUCAUCAUCAUUACUACUCCAAUUGUCCAAUAAUUCCUAAUCUAGAUCACUCCCCCUUCACCUGUGUGUCCUUGUUAAACAAAAUUAAAAAUCCCAAGCCAAAGGAACUUGGCAUGCUAUCUGCCCU